This 464-nucleotide ribosomal RNA is filed under the name uncultured bacterium. RNAcentral's name for it is "partial 16S ribosomal RNA". It matches the Rfam family "Bacterial small subunit ribosomal RNA", at positions 338 to 795 of the family's 1533-position model. The record is from RNAcentral.
CCUACGGGAGGCAGCAGUAGGGAAUUUUCGUCAAUGGGCGCAAGCCUGAACGAGCAAUGCCGCGUGAACGAGGAAGGUCUUCGGAUCGUAAAGUUCUGUUGAAGGGGAAAAAGAGCGGAGAGAGGAAAUGGUCUCCGAUUGAUAUUACCCUUCGAGGCAGUCACGGCUAACUACGUGCCAGCAGCCGCGGUAAUACGUAGGUGGCGAGCGUUAUCCGGAAUGAUUGGGCGUAAAGGGUGCGUAGGCGGCCUGCUAAGUCUGGAGUGAAAGGUACCGGCUCAACCGGUACAGGCUCUGGAAACUGGCGGGCUAGAGAGCAGGAGAGGGCGGUGGAACUCCAUGUGUAGCGGUAAAAUGCGUAGAUAUAGGGAAGAACACCAGUGGCGAAGGCGGCCGCCUGGCCUGUGACUGACGCUGAGGCACGAAAGCGUGGGGAGCAAAUAGGAUUAGAUACCCUAGUAGUC